Molecule: ribosomal RNA, 254 nt
Filed under: uncultured bacterium
Lineage: Bacteria
Description: partial 16S ribosomal RNA
Rfam family: Bacterial small subunit ribosomal RNA
Source: RNAcentral
UACGGGGGGAGCAAGCGUUGUUCGGAUUUACUGGGCGUAAAGGGCGCGUAGGCGGUCAGCACAAGUCAGUUGUGAAAUCUCCGGGCUUAACUCGGAAAGGUCAACUGAUACUGUGCGACUAGAGUGCGGAAGGGGCAACUGGAAUUCUUGGUGUAGCGGUGAAAUGCGUAGAUACUGGGAGGAACACCGGUGGCGAAGGCGGCUACCUGGACCGGUUCUGACGCUGAUGCGCGAAAGCGUGGGUAGCAAACAGG